GCGUUUGUAGAUGGAAGGAAGAACUUGUGUGCUUAGACCUGACGCUGGGAGGAGAUGCUGCCACCUAGGUUACUUGUAGGACCCUAUACGGCAACCUCCUUUGCCAGGAACUAUUUAUAAACAUCCUGCAGGAAAAUGAGUCUAUAUGUCAGAAUACACAUUUCCCACCUUGCCCAACAGUAGAAAAACAUAAGAAGAGAAAAACAUUAAAAAAUGACAAGGAAGUUAAUGG
RNAcentral lists this long non-coding RNA (232 nucleotides) under Homo sapiens (human). Its description in RNAcentral is "non-protein coding MRPS30-DT:52". Lineage: Eukaryota; Metazoa; Chordata; Mammalia; Primates; Hominidae. The record is from RNAcentral.